This 74-nucleotide transfer RNA is filed under the name Sulfurivirga caldicuralii. It matches the Rfam family "tRNA". Rfam says of the family: Transfer RNA (tRNA) molecules are approximately 80 nucleotides in length. Their secondary structure includes four short double-helical elements and three loops (D, anti-codon, and T loops). Further hydrogen bonds mediate the characteristic L-shaped molecular structure. tRNAs have two regions of fundamental functional importance: the anti-codon, which is responsible for specific mRNA codon recognition, and the 3' end, to which the tRNAs corresponding amino acid is attached (by aminoacyl-tRNA synthetases). tRNAs cope with the degeneracy of the genetic code in two manners: having more than one tRNA (with a specific anti-codon) for a particular amino acid; and 'wobble' base-pairing, i.e. permitting non-standard base-pairing at the 3rd anti-codon position. The record is from Rfam by way of RNAcentral. Lineage: Bacteria; Pseudomonadati; Pseudomonadota; Gammaproteobacteria; Thiotrichales; Piscirickettsiaceae.
CGGAGAGUAGCUCAGCCUGGUAGAGCACCACUUUCGGGAAGUGGGGGUCGCAGGUUCAAAUCCUGUCUCUCCGA